GUGUCAGCCGCCGCGGUAAUACGUAGGGUGCGAACGUUAAUCGGAAUUACUGGGCGUAAAGCGUGCGCAGGCGGUUAUGUAAGACAGAUGUGAAAUCCCCGGGCUCAACCUGGGAACUGCAUUAGUGACUGCAUAGCUGGAGUACGGCAGAGGGGGAUGGAAUUCCGCGUGUAGCAGUGAAAUGCGUAGAUAUGCGGAGGAACACCGAUGGCGAAGGCAAUCCCCUGGGCCUGUACUGACGCUCAUGCACGAAAGCGUGGGGAGCAAACAGGAUUAGAUACCCGUGUAGUCC
This 292-nucleotide ribosomal RNA is filed under the name uncultured Curvibacter sp. Its description in RNAcentral is "partial 16S ribosomal RNA". It matches the Rfam family "Bacterial small subunit ribosomal RNA", at positions 505 to 796 of the family's 1533-position model. Lineage: Bacteria; Pseudomonadati; Pseudomonadota; Betaproteobacteria; Burkholderiales; Comamonadaceae. The record is from RNAcentral.